GAUGAACGCUGGCGGCGUGCCUAAUACAUGCAAGUCGAGCGAACAGACGAGGAGCUUGCUCCUCUGACGUUAGCGGCGGACGGGUGAGUAACACGUGGAUAACCUACCUAUAAGACUGGGAUAACUUCGGGAAACCGGAGCUAAUACCGGAUAAUAUAUUUAACCGCAUGGUUCAAUAGUGAAAGACGGUUUUGCUGUCACUUAUAGAUGGAUCCGCGCCGCAUUAGCUAGUUGGUAAGGUAACGGCUUACCAAGGCAACGAUGCGUAGCCGACCUGAGAGGGUGAUCGGCCACACGGGAACUGAGACACGGUCAAGACUCCUACGGGAGGCAGCAGUAGGGAAUCUUCCGCAAUGGGCGAAAGCCUGACGGAGCAACGCCGCGUGAGUGAUGAAGGUCUUCGGAUCGUAAAACUCUGUUAUUAGGGAAGAACAAAUGUGUAAGUAACUAUGCACGUCUUGACGGUACCUAAUCAGAAAGCCACGGCUAACUACGUG
RNAcentral lists this ribosomal RNA (497 nucleotides) under uncultured bacterium. RNAcentral's name for it is "partial 16S ribosomal RNA". It matches the Rfam family "Bacterial small subunit ribosomal RNA", at positions 28 to 507 of the family's 1533-position model. The record is from RNAcentral.